GAUGAACGCUGGCGGCGUGCCUAAUACAUGCCAGUCGAGCGAACAGACGAGGAACUUGCUCCUCUGACGUUAGCGGCGGACGGGGGAGUAACACGUGUAUAACCUAACUAUAAGACUGGGAUAACUUCGGGAAACCGGAGCUAAUACCGGAAAAUAUAUUGAACCACAUGGUUCAAUAGUGAAAGACGGUGUUGCUGUCGCUUAUAGAUUGAUCCGCUCCCCAUUAGCUAGUUGGUAAGGUAACGGCUUACCAAGGCAACGAUGCGUAGCCGACCUGAGAGGGUGAUCCGCCACACUGGAACUGAGACACGGCCCAGACUCCUACGGGAGGCAGCAGUAGGGAAUCUUGCGCAAUGGGCGCAAGCCUGACGGAGCAACGCCGCGUGAGUGAUGAAGGUCUUCGGAUUGUAAAAGUCUGUUAUUAGGGAAGAAAAAAUGUGUAAGUAACCCUGCACCUCUUGACGGUACCUUAUCAGAAAGCCACGGCUAACUACGUG
RNAcentral lists this ribosomal RNA (497 nucleotides) under uncultured bacterium. Its description in RNAcentral is "partial 16S ribosomal RNA". It matches the Rfam family "Bacterial small subunit ribosomal RNA", at positions 28 to 507 of the family's 1533-position model. The record is from RNAcentral.